Gadus morhua (Atlantic cod) is the source of this 119-nucleotide ribosomal RNA. Lineage: Eukaryota; Metazoa; Chordata; Actinopteri; Gadiformes; Gadidae. The record is from Ensembl.
GUUUACGGCCAUACCACCUUAGGCACGCCCGAUCUCGUCUGAUCUCGGAAGCUAAGCAGGGUCGGGCCUGGUUAGUACUUGGAUGGGUGACCGCCUGGGAAUACCAGGUGCUGUAAGCA